Camelus dromedarius (Arabian camel) is the source of this 2205-nucleotide long non-coding RNA. RefSeq lists it as uncharacterized. Lineage: Eukaryota; Metazoa; Chordata; Mammalia; Artiodactyla; Camelidae. The record is from RefSeq and is a predicted model, not a curated record. The transcript is spliced from 4 exons.
AUUGCGUUUGCGCCGGUCCACCCCGCAGAGCGUCCGGGUGGGAGCGCAGGAAACUGGAGCCUCGGGGCCUGGGUUCCGGCCUGGUGCCUACGCGUCACGCCCGGUAGCCCCUUCGGCGGUCGAGGGGUCUCGGUCCAAUAUGGGGUCUUUCCAGACAUGAGAGAGGCAGGGCGAGGAGUUUUCUCUGCGGAAUACCACUCUGAGAAAGCCUGAGUUCACAUGACAAGUUCCAUCCCGAGGGCCACACAGCAGGAAAACAGUACAACAGAAUUUGAGCGCAGCCUGUGUGAUUCCAGAGGCCCCAGUGAAUGGACAACAUCGUAAGCGAUCUCAAGUUAAAAUGAAAAAAGUUCAACUGGAUUCAUACUGAAGAGAAGAAGAGAGAAGAGGAAGGAGGCAAAAAUGCUAUGUGUCAUUGGUGACGACUGACUCCCAAGCUGCAUGUCUCACUGUUCAACUGGCCAGACACCAGGAUUAUUAUUCAGCAGCACACACCCUCUGGAAAACUUCCAGUUUCAGCCUACAACAAGCCAGAAUCCCAGCAGCAAGGACGGAGGGAGUCACAUUACACUGUGGAAAUAAGAAGGGAAUCCAAAGCCAUUCCCCACCACCAGGAACUGGAGGAGAGUCGGAAGAGUUAACUAUCACUUCAAACACUUCUAAAUAGACUUUGACCAUAAUCCCAAGAAAAUCCUGUCCAUCUCCGGAUUAUCUCAUAGGUUUGUGGAAUAGUGAGAACACAAACUCUGGGUUCAGGCUGAAUUCUUUGCUACUUAAUUCAUAACUGGGGAUAGAUGCCCCGAGAGUUUUCCAGCCCAGGAGGAAACCCAUGAAGAUAUACAUCAAAGCUGGACUUUCGGUGUGCCAGGAAGGAUGCUACCUGUGAGAAAUGUAGUCUAUCAUAGUUCUUCCAAGAACUAUUAGAGAAUACUCUCAGUUUGGUUUUAAAAUGUUUGUUCUGGGUCAGCAAGAUGGCAGAAUAGGAGGUCCCCUGUUAUAUCCUACCCAAGCAAUAAUAAUUUUAGCAGCCGUUCAUGGACAGAACUUCCUGUGUGGAAGCUUUGGGUUCCAGGUAGGAGGUUGUGAAACCGCAGUGGAGCCAUCAAGGAGGCUGUAUUAAGAAAGCAAACCUGAGAGUGGGGGUUCUAGCUCAGUGGAAGAGCACGGGCUUGGCAUGCAGGAGGUCCUUGGUUUGGUUCCCAGAGUCCCUGUUAAGGGGAAAAAAAUUUUAAAAAAGAAAAGAAAAGUGAAAAAAAAAAGUAUAUGAUCCUUAAGAAAAAAAAAAAAAGGCAAACCAAAGAAGACAGACUUGCAUUCAUACGAGCGAAAGCACAGAUCUGCCAACUCUAAUUUUUCUUCCCAGCCUGUUAUUUCCCCUGUUGUUUCCUGACAAGGAAGGCUCACUGGCCACGGUCCUGGCUGCAGACCCGAAAACAGCCUCCUCCCCUAGGGGACCUGGCUACAGCUCAGUUUGGCCUUGGUCCUGUGAACAGUACCAUCAGCCAAGGGAUGUCGGAGAAGUCAUGCCCACCUGAGCCUUGGGUAAUAAGCCUGCCCAUCUUGGUUGGGUCUUUGGACCCCAAAGCAGCCUGUGACCUGGAUCUAGCCUCAGCCAUGGUCUGGGAGCAGUCCUGCCAGCCCAGGGACGUGGCAGGAGGCGUGCCCAUCAAAGUUAGGAGGCAGGCUCCCUGACUUUGAUUCAGCUGUGGAUCCUGAAGGGACCCUGAGACUUGGCUCCAGCCCCUCUCAGCUGUGGUUCAGGGCCAGUUCUGUCCACGCAGAGACCUGCCCAGUGACCCAGCAGGAGCCAUGAGCAUUUGUGUGCCUGGUAACAAGCCUGCUGUCUGCAGACCCAACUGAGAACUCAGCAGCAGCCAGGUGACUAGUUCUAACCUUGUUUGACUGAUCCCAGAGGUAAUCGCAUCAGCUCAGGGGCCUGACAAGAGAAAAUCGUUACAUAUCAGAAACAAUAUGUAAAGAUGAGGACGUGUUUGCUCCUUCAAAUGUACAGACACCAAUGUGAGGCCACAGAGAUCCCAAAGAAGCAGGCAAACACGACACCACCGAAGGAAACUUACUAAUCAAUAGAUUGAACAGACACAUACAAAAAACAUAGGGAAGAAGCUCCUUGACAUUGGUCUUGGCAAUGAUUUUUUAAAUUUAUCUUUUUAUUGAUGUAUAGUUGAUGUACAAUAUUAUAUAAGU